AUGGAUCGCCAUGAAAUGUGGCAAACAUUCAUGUUCCUCUCAGGAGGAACUCACUACUUUGGUGAUCCCUCCACUGUCCCACAGCUUCUUUAUAGUCCUCACUUUUAACCUUUCCAGUUCCUUAGUGUACAAGUUAACGUCUGCCACAUUGUCAGUAGGUACAGUAAGCAUAGCAUUGUAUGAGCUCUACAUAAGAGAAACUUGUUGAAUGUGACUCUCAGAUGGAUUAUAUGUGCACGAGACCCAUAUUGUUCUUGUCAUGUAAUCUUGGGGGAUUUUAACUUUAACUUCUCGGUCACAAUUUGAAGAAUUGCAACACAGGUUUGAGUUCUUCAGAUCACGUCCUUCCUCAGCAAUAUUUCCAGCCUCAACAAUACUCAAUUAGAUAUUUUGCUGAAAAAAAAAAUGCUUUGUGAAUGGUGCAGCCAAAAGACUCUGUGAUGGACAAAGAAAAGAAGCCCAGCAUUCAGAGCGCACAAGCCAAUACGAGGCGGCUACACAGUUCCAUGACACCUCAGAUCCACUCGGGUCCACUGUAGCUACGUAGUUCUGAACCGAAUUCGGGGAAAUUGAGAGAAGUGGGGUGAAAAAAGUUUGAGGCUGGUGUUGCAGUGGUUGACGGAGAGCUGUAG
Long non-coding RNA from Acanthopagrus latus (yellowfin seabream), 632 nucleotides. RefSeq lists it as uncharacterized. NCBI's taxonomy places the organism in Eukaryota, Metazoa, Chordata, Actinopteri, Spariformes, Sparidae. The record is from RefSeq and is a predicted model, not a curated record. The transcript is spliced from 4 exons.